UGCUCUGAAGAAGAGAAAAGCUUCGAUCAUUAUCGAGACUCAAAAGAAAUCGAGGACCACCGAUGCUGGUAAAGGGGAGGCGGGCUCCUCUUGGGUCUCUUCCACCCCGCGGUUGAAGUUGUCUUGGCCACUCCGACUCAGGCAGGCUCUUCCAGGCCUGCCGCCUUUCUCGCUCCCAAAACUGAGGGAAGUCAUCAAUUUGCCCCCCUAGACAAGCAACCAAGUUAGGUUUCCAUUGAGGUACCGAAUAACCAAGAACUUGGCACAACCUCCCUCCUGCUAGAUGCUUCGUUUGAAGAUUGGAGGGUUGCACACAAACUGUUGGAGGGGAUGCUUCUGCUCGUCGAUCUAGAUAGGAUCGAGGGAUAGAGUUUUAGUUGCCAGUAGAGGGAGGUUGUGACCUCCAUUAUCUGAGUGAGUUCUUCUAUUCUUUUUCUCCUCUUUUCUCUUUUUUUUUACUCACUCCUUUCUGAAUGUAGUUAGGCUAUUGUAUUACUGUCUUCAUCAAUACAUUAAGGGUUACUCGAUCUGAUGCCGCUGAAGCACAAAAGAAGUGCAAGUAGGUGGAUGUUGCAAAGGUUGAGACUCAAUCUAAGGUAGAAGCAGCUGAUGCCGAAGCCAAACGCUUAAAGGAGGUGUUGGACAAGGCCAAGGCUACCAUAGCAAAGGCCGACUUGGACUCGAAAAAGAAAAAGUGAUAGGUAGUACAGGCUA
This 714-nucleotide long non-coding RNA is filed under the name Elaeis guineensis (African oil palm). RNAcentral's name for it is "long non-coding RNA (EGUI_LNC014289)". The record is from RNAcentral. Lineage: Eukaryota; Viridiplantae; Streptophyta; Magnoliopsida; Arecales; Arecaceae.